AAGCAGCGCGUCAUGGUUUUCAACAUUAGAGAAGGUGCAAGCCAUCAUUUGCUGCUCUA
This 59-nucleotide microRNA precursor is filed under the name Danio rerio (zebrafish). RNAcentral describes it as "Dre-Mir-15-P1b_pre stem-loop". The record is from RNAcentral. Lineage: Eukaryota; Metazoa; Chordata; Actinopteri; Cypriniformes; Danionidae.